AACACAAGGCUAAUGAAUUUUAAAAGUACAAAAAUGAUUUUAAAAUAAAUCUCUAUUUAUUCAGAUUACAUAGAACAUCUUUAGCGUCUACCACAUCUACUCCCAGAGUAGGACAAAUACAUCUUUUCUUUCCUGUGUACUUUAUACACCAUUUAGUAUGUUUCUAACAAGAUGCCUACUAUUUUCAUUUAUGCUUAGGCAGACCUCUUACUAAGCAUCAUCUAGUUUAACUUAUCUUCCUGUGACUUUUCCCCUAAGCUUUAUAGUCAUUGGAAUCCAAAUUCUUAAUUUCUAUUGAAACAGACUUAUUUUUGCUCCAGUUCCAUCUUCCAGGAGACUGCACAUAUCUUUUUUGUGUCCUUAACAUGUAGUGAGCCAUGCAUGCUAACCUCCAAAGUGAGCAAAAUACUCAUAUGUACCACGUGAAUUUUUCUCCUAUCACUUAUUGACAUUACAGUAGAACAGGUUUCUUUGUAGACUGCUUAUUAAUCUGUUUUUCUUUUAAAGAAAUGUGAAGGUCAGCACAAUUAAAAUUACUCUUCCAUAAACAAAGCAAUUAUGUGUACCAGUAGCAGUAAAACUGAAAACGUUCUUUCCAGUCCAUUUUAGUUUCUCCAAUCCUGAAUACCAAAUGCAUGUUUACCUGUAAAGCUGUGAGAUGGAACAGAAGAACACAGCUGUAGAGAAGUUAAAUGACUGUGGAAUGCAAUAAUGUGGAACCUUAAUUAGCUCUGAGCAAAAACAUCAAAAGACUCUUGAAAGUAAUCUCCAUGCUUGAGCUCACUCAUCUUUAAGAUGGAUGUACACAGCCAACUCAGGUUGCUGCAGGAAUUCUAUGACAAUGGGGAACAUUCUCUUGCAUUUAGAAGGAAUUUUAAUAGAUCUUCUAAUCCUGCUUGGGAGGUAAAGGCAAACACAGGAUACUUCUGCAUACAGAAGUCUGCUUAGAAUGGUAACUGAGGUCUUUAUCCUAAAUCUAAAUGAAGAAAAGAAUGUAUGGGAAAAAUAUUUGUUUAAGUGACAAGACUGCAUUGUAAAAAGUAAAUAAAUAAACGAGUUGUCCUCCAAGAAACAGACCGAGAACAAAAGGAGCUACAAGUCAAAAGAAUAAGCAAGAAAUGGACACAUGAAAUGCCACCAAUAAAUCCAGCAAUUAAAAGUCACCAGAAAUUCUAUUUCCCUUACAUCUGUUCUUAUUGCAUCCGUGUGGUUUACGUUUAGUGCAUAACAAUACUUAAAGGAGGACAGAAGACAGGUAAGGUUUUAGAAGAGAGGACUAACUUUAUUUUUGCCAUAGUAGCCCUGUUUCAAAGAGUUCUUAUCACAGAAGAAAAACAUGUUCAGAAACAUAAGAUGGUGUCUGAAAUUACAACCUGAGGAUAUGGAGAUAAUAAAAGCAAGGAAGUAAAACACAGGAAACGCUUCUUGAGUUUAUCACUCAUUUGGAUGCGAUUGUUGGGAGCAUCACAUCAGUACUGUUCGUAGGUUGCGUAGCUCAUGAAAAUCUAACUCUUCAAUAAUUUGAAGUUUGCGUUUAAUUUCAAAUAAAGUGGUACUAAUCAGGCCUUAGUUUAUUGUUCAGCAACAUCCAACUACAUUCAACUCUGUCAAACGCACAUACCAGAAAAGUUAAUUAUAACAAGAGAGACUUUUCUUUCUGCUGAUUUUUAGUUGAAUUGACAAUGGACAUUCUUAAGUAACUGGGUAGACCCUACAUACAAAUUGACACUAUCUUCUGCAUAUGAAGUCCACACGAAUAUCAUAAGUCAACUCUCAGACCCUAUAAAAUACAUAAAUCGUGUAAAUUCAACCCCAAAACACGCUAUAAAUUUGAUUAGAAAAAAAGUGAUAAGUCCACGCUGGUACCUACAGAUUAUUUUGCAAAAAUACUUAUGAAAACUUCUUAAACCAAUUAUUUUCCAGCAAGAAAUCCUGACCUGUUAAAAGAAGAAACUAAAAAUGCAGACUAUAUACCCAAACCACAAAGUAACACAUAAAUACUUAAAAUAGCAGACAACUUAAUGAACAAGAAAAUUGCAGCUUAUGAGAGAAAAAUUAGCAAUAGCUAUCACUUCAUUUGUUUCAGGACAAAAUGUUUUAUCUUUUCUCUAUCACAAUGAAUCAACAAAACAACAACAAAAAACCAGACCAAGACACAUUUACAAUACAAAGAGAACAACAUCUGAAAAUACAACAAAAAAGAUUGCAGAGCACACUUAACCAAUUUCAACUUCAGUGAGAGCUUUCAGCUCUUCCAAAAAGCUAUCUCAAUGAACAAUGAAUUUGGAGAGACAGGGGCCAGCAGAAAAUGGUCAGUAUCAAAAUCUGACCUGAGAAACAACUAUUAAUUACAUGCAUACAUAAUAUAUAUGUUGACAUAUGAAUGACAGACAUACGUUUAUAUGGUUGACUUUCUUUGUUAAUUCAGAGAAGAGUAAUCCCUAAACAUUUCCUAUAACAUUUAAAGUUCAUUAAACUGUAACAAAUAGGAAUUUUACUAACCUAAAAUCUCAAAAUUUAAGCUGACUUCACUAGGGCAGACUUACGCUUAGUAAAUUAACAUAAACUGCACAGACAAAUUAUUUUUCAAGGAAACAUCAAAAUAAUACAGACUGUUUUUCUACUAUUAAACCAACACAAUUAUGAAGCUCCUUGUUAGAAACAUUUCUCAGAAAAUAUUAUUCCUUGAUCACUGAAUUUCAAGAAAGCAUAACCAAAUUAUUUUCUGUAUUAUUCAAGCUAGUUUCAGUUUCAGAAGAUGACAAACUCUAUUGUAAUGGGUAUGGCAUACUGUAUUUUCGAG
Cygnus olor (mute swan) is the source of this 2803-nucleotide long non-coding RNA. RefSeq lists it as uncharacterized. The transcript has 3 exons. The record is from RefSeq and is a predicted model, not a curated record. Lineage: Eukaryota; Metazoa; Chordata; Aves; Anseriformes; Anatidae.